Non-coding RNA from Candidatus Kaiserbacteria bacterium, 72 nucleotides. The record is from Rfam. NCBI's taxonomy places the organism in Bacteria, Candidatus Kaiseribacteriota.
CCCCUCGUAGUUCAAUGGACAGAACAUCGGACUUCUAAGCCGAUUAUGUAGGUUCGAUUCCUACCGAGGGGA